Long non-coding RNA from Esox lucius (northern pike), 435 nucleotides. Lineage: Eukaryota; Metazoa; Chordata; Actinopteri; Esociformes; Esocidae. The record is from Ensembl.
AUUUUUCUGGUAGGACACCCUUUUCUUUUGUAGAGGGAGUGUUGAAAUAGCAGUGGUCCCUGGAGAAGAUGUGUUAAAACAUCUUCCAUAGAGGGAGAGUGUGUUGAAAUAGCAGUGAUCUCUAGUAGUUACUGUGUUGAAAUAGCAGUCUUCUACAGAAGAGACUGUGUUACAGAGGCUACAUUUCUUCACUCAAGAUAGAAGGAGGAGACCUUCAUCUUUACAAUCAGAUGGAGGCAGGGCUUUUUCCCAUCGAGCUACACUUCUGUGGAAUGAUGAUUAAGGUUAGAGACUCUUUCCAAACAUUUAAGUGUCUACUUGUCAUCUCUUCAGCAUGGCCUAUGAUUAAGUGCAUGGUGGGUGGAGUAACUUACUGCCUGUUGGGUCCACAGUGUCGCUGGACCCUCCUGUCUUAGCCCCAAGAUGUUUACGCUG